AACAAGGCGUACCUGCGGACCUGCGGAGGGAUCAUUACAAAAUCCAAUUUUCUUUUUAAGGUGUCAGCUGAAGCCCUGAUUCGAUCAAUGGGAGAUCUCUCUUUUUCCCUUGUUCCCUUCGGGGCUCGCUGCCCUUAAAAGAAAAAUUACCCAACCUUUGAACACCCUUUGUGCACUGUUGAAACGUCGUCAAAAUGUAUGAGGGGGAGAAGUGUGUGUUUGGUGUUUCCCUCUAGCUAA
RNAcentral lists this unclassified non-coding RNA (240 nucleotides) under soil metagenome. RNAcentral's name for it is "partial contains 5.8S ribosomal RNA, internal transcribed spacer 2, and large subunit ribosomal RNA". The record is from RNAcentral.